This 1635-nucleotide long non-coding RNA is filed under the name Phoenix dactylifera (date palm). RNAcentral describes it as "long non-coding RNA (PDAC_LNC002765)". The record is from RNAcentral. Lineage: Eukaryota; Viridiplantae; Streptophyta; Magnoliopsida; Arecales; Arecaceae.
AAAACGCAGGAAAAAGGAGGUGAGGAAGGUUGGGGUUUUGGCAUCUCGAGCUCUUCCACUUUAAAUCCACAUAUUUAAGCUUCAAAAACCAUCCCACUGAGGUAAGAAACUUGCUCCUUCCUUCUCUUUUUUUUUAAAAAAAGAAAUCUCAAAAUCCGGGUCUAAGUAUCCCAAAAUCACUAAACCGAGAGGAGAUACCGCAAAAAUUUUUCAAAAUGGUCAUAUAAUGGUUGGCUUCAUGCUCGAGAGCAUCGAUCCAAGCUCAAAUACUAGAAUUUUGGAUGUUCCGGAUCUAACCCCAAAACUCACACCUUAUUUAGUCCAAAAGUAAUCCAAUCAAAUGAUGUUUGUUUGGAAUGAUUUCUGGAAAUGACUUAGAGAAUGGUUUAUUCAACAUACAUACUAAAUUUCUUUUUCUUUUUUUUUGAGCUACUACUUGUUUUUAAAAUUAUUUAUACCGAAGUGCAAUGUAAAAAAUAUUAAAUAUAUAAAAUUCAUAAGUAAAAUCUCGUAUCAUGUUUGUAAUUAUGAUACUCGCAAGCUACUAAAUUUCAGAAAUAAUGGGAUAAAGUUCGGCAUGUUCAAGUUUUACUCAAGCCUAGGCUGGAAAAUUAAAUAAAUGGAAAAACGAACCCGACGAAUGUAUUAUAUAUAUCCGUCCAGUUCCUGUGUAUAUAAAGCCCAUCUACAAAAAAACCUGAGUUAAACUUAAUUUUCUUCCUUAUUCAUAAUUUCAAAAUUUAAUUAUUUACAUAAUAUUUCAAAUAUUAUAUAUGGUAUGAUAGCUAACCGUGGGCUAUAUUCUGAGUCUAAAAGUUUUUUUGCUUGCAAAAAAAUAUUAAUUUUUAGCAAAUUUUCAAACAAUUAUAUAAAAUAUAUUAGAAAUAUUAUACCUUAAAAAAUAUACUGGAAGUAUUAGAUAAUUGCAAAUUAAUAACCGAGAUAUCAUUUUCACGAGUAAACUCAUUUUUAUUUAAGAAUUAAUGUAUAACUAAUUAAAUAUAAAUAUAUAUGUUUAAAAAUAAGAAUUAAAACCUCAAAAUGAAAAGUAACUUGGUCGACCUCUGUACAUAAUGCAUAUAGGAAUUAAACAUUCAGAUAGAGCCGAGGAGAUAUGGAGGGUAUAUUCAGGAUUCUAGAGCAGGCCAGAGUGCUGCUUUCACAAUGGUCAUAUAAGGUUGAUCGGCUGAUACAGCACAAUCACCGCAUAAGGGACUACCAUGAACAUCAUUAUUAGUAUAUGACACUAGAGCAGCACUCAUAAUAGCAAAAAAGUGAGGGACUGUAUUAAGAUUUCGAACGAUAUGAUUUUGUUAUUGAUUGCUAUUACGUAUAUAUGUUUAUAUGCUAUUUUCUUGGAUGAUUAGUUCUACCUUGAGUCUUCUUUAGUGACUGAUGGAUCUAUCAGUUGUAAUUGUUGGUAUGCCCCUUCUUUACGGAUUUGUGGUUCUUAGCAAUCUAAUUAAUUUUCAAAUGCCAAUAUGGAUGCCUGUAUAUUAAUAUAAAGUUUGGAGUGUGUAAUAUAUCAUUUGUAUGAAAUAUGCGUAUUUGUAGUCUCAGCACAUACGUGAAACUGCAGCUAGGAUUAGUUAACUUGAUGUCCAUAUUUUAUUUUCUUUAAAAACACAGUAUUCA